RNAcentral lists this ribosomal RNA (267 nucleotides) under uncultured bacterium. Its description in RNAcentral is "partial 16S ribosomal RNA". It matches the Rfam family "Bacterial small subunit ribosomal RNA", at positions 94 to 354 of the family's 1533-position model. The record is from RNAcentral.
CCGGACGCACGGGUGAGUAACACGUGAGUGACCUGCCUUUUAGACUGGAACAACUUACCGAAAGGUGAGCUAAUGCCGGAUGAGUUAUAUAAGUGCAUGUUUAUAUAGGAAAAGUUGGGGAGACCUGACGCUGAAAGAUGGACUCGCGUCCCAUUAGCUAGUUGGUAGGGUAAUGGCCUACCAAGGCGACGAUGGGUAGCCGGCCUGAGAGGGUGAACGGCCACAUUGGGACUGAGACACGGCCCAAACUCCUACGGGAGGCAGCAG